CAUAGAUAAUGUGCCCCUUAGUUCGGGAUAGCCACUGGAAACGGUGAUUAAUACCGGAUACUCCUUCUUGUUAUAAGACAAGUCGGGAAAGUUUUUCGCUAAGGGAUCAGUCUAUGUUCCAUCAGCUUGUUGGUGAGGUAAUGGCUCACCAAGGCUAUGACGGAUAUCUGGUUUGAGAGGAUGAUCAGACACACUGGAACUGAGACACGGUCCAGACUCCUACGGGAGGCAGCAGUGAGGAAUAUUGCACAAUGGAGGAAACUCUGAUGCAGCAACGCCGCGUGGAGGAUGACGCAUUUCGGUGUGUAAACUCCUUUUAUUAGGGAAGAUAAUGACGGUACCUAAUGAAUAAGCACCGGCUAACUCCGUGCCAGCAGCCGCGGUAAUACGGAGGGUGCAAGCGUUACUCGGAAUCACUGGGCGUAAAGGGUGCGUAGGCUGGCUUUUAAGUCAGAUGUGAAAUCCAAUGGCUCAACCAUUGAACUGCAUUUGAAACUGAAAGCCUAGAGUUCAGAAGGGGCAGAUGGAAUUAGUGGUGUAGGGGUAAAAUCCGUAGAUAUCACUAGGAAUAUCAAAAGCGAAGGCGAUCUGCUGGGAUG
Molecule: ribosomal RNA, 599 nt
Filed under: uncultured bacterium
Lineage: Bacteria
Description: bacterial SSU rRNA
Rfam family: Bacterial small subunit ribosomal RNA
Source: RNAcentral